UACAGAGGGUGCAAGCGUUAAUCGGAAUUACUGGGCGGAAAGCGUGCGUAGACGGUUGCGUAAGUCAGAUGUGAAAGCCCCGGGCUCAACCUGGGAAUUGCAUUUGAGACUGCGUGGCUAGGGUGCGGAAGAGGGAAGCGGAAUUUCCGGUGUAGCGGUGAAAUGCGUAGAUAUGCGGAGGAACACCGAUGGCGAAGGCAAUCCCCUGGGCCUGCACUGACGCUCAUGCACGAAAGCGUGGGGAGCAAACAGG
RNAcentral lists this ribosomal RNA (253 nucleotides) under uncultured bacterium. Its description in RNAcentral is "partial 16S ribosomal RNA". It matches the Rfam family "Bacterial small subunit ribosomal RNA", at positions 524 to 776 of the family's 1533-position model. The record is from RNAcentral.